UACGGGGGAUGCAAGCGUUAUCCGGAAUCAUUGGGCGUAAAGCGCCUGUAGGUUGUUUAAUAAGUCUGUUGUUAAAGACUAGGGCUCAACCCUAGAAAAGCAAUGGAAACUAUUAGACUAGAGUAUGGCAGGGGUAGAGGGAAUUUCUAGUGUAGCGGUGAAAUGCGUAGAUAUUAGAAAGAACACCAGCGGCGAAAGCGCUCUACUGGACCAUUACUGACACUCAGAGGCGAAAGCUAGGGUAGCAAAAGGGAUUAGAUACCCCUGUAGUCCUAGCCGUAAACGAUGGAUACUAGAUGUUGUGCUUCCGUACAGUAUCGUAGCUAACGCGUUAAGUAUCCCGCCUGGGGAGUACGCUCGCAAGGGUG
RNAcentral lists this ribosomal RNA (368 nucleotides) under uncultured phototrophic eukaryote. RNAcentral's name for it is "SSU rRNA". It matches the Rfam family "Bacterial small subunit ribosomal RNA", at positions 524 to 896 of the family's 1533-position model. The record is from RNAcentral.